This is a long non-coding RNA of Engraulis encrasicolus (European anchovy), 658 nucleotides long. RefSeq lists it as uncharacterized. The transcript has 3 exons. Lineage: Eukaryota; Metazoa; Chordata; Actinopteri; Clupeiformes; Engraulidae. The record is from RefSeq and is a predicted model, not a curated record.
GACAAAGGGAAGGCCUUCAGGUAUUGUUUUGGCAAGCUAGGAGAACACAUCUGACAGACAAAAAGGUUUCAUCAAAGACACACAGACAGCUCCUGAAGUAAAGGACCUACACAGGACCUUCAUAUCAAGGACAUUGACUGUGUGGAUCUCGAGGUGCAGUUACCCAAAAGUUGCUACCCACAGAAUACCAGGUUUUGAGGGAUCCUGCCAGAGCAGAGAAUCAACAGAUACAUUGAAGAGGAGACUCCGACAUGACCGCCGGCAUCUUGUGUUAUUCACCCCCACCACUUGUAAUACUGAAUGCCUGAAUUGUUGUUUGCUGCUCAGACUUUGUCAACAGAUAUGGUCUUCGACAUGUUACCCUUAGGUGUGGAAACAGAUUGUGACAGUCCAGCAAAAUGAGCCAGACAGAUAGUAACACUGAAAAAGGACAACGUUGUUCCCAUGGCCUCCCACUGCAGAAGACUACAGACGUUCAGUGAAGCACAAACAGCUGUUCCUCUUGUACUUAAUAAUUUAGUCAGCUGGAUUCUAGGUGCCACUAAGGAGCAAACAGUGGAUAAUUUUGUCAACAUUUCAAUGGCAUACAUUAAAAGGGCAGCCUGUAAUUGUUUGCCUUGCCUCCAUCUUCCUUGCCACCAAGGGGUUGUAGACCGAU